Molecule: small nuclear RNA, 23 nt
Filed under: Arabidopsis thaliana (thale cress)
Lineage: Eukaryota; Viridiplantae; Streptophyta; Magnoliopsida; Brassicales; Brassicaceae
Description: snRNA_15802
Source: RNAcentral
AUUAUAUGUUAUGAUUUCAGGUC